CGUUUGCCGGGACUGAGUAUCCCGGGAGCAGCUCCUGGAAGUGCAGUCGUCGUAUUUCCGGGCGGCCCGCGGCUCACAGGGAUGGGACGUCCCGGGGCUGUGCUGACCCCAAAACCCUUCCACCCUUUAUUAGCUUGUCGCCCUUCUUUCAUGUUUACAGCAAAUAUUUUCCAAGUGCCUAAUGUGUUCCACUUACUGUGCCACGUGCGAGGGUGCACGUGUCAGGCAAGCUCGCUGUUCCAAGGAGGCUGAGAACAGUGCAUUGCAGCCCACAAAACUUGGAAACCCAGCUAGAUGGUCUGUUUUUCUAGUUCCUACGUUCGAUUUAAGUCCUACCCAUCAAGACUACUGUCUUCAGAGGGCAUCUUCAUGUGUGGGCACCAGGGCUGCGGCUGGAACCACAGUGGACACCCCACGCUCCAAGGACAAUCCUCUGCAGAAACCAGCAGCUAGAAACAAUUCUUAAUGCUGCAAGAAGUGGUUAGAAGAAACGACUGUGUGAGUCAGAGCUAAAACUGGAGUUCAAAAACCACAGAAAAUAUUUCCAAGGCUGUCUGUGAAGUGGGGUUGUCAAAAUACCAAAAAUUACAGCUUUGGAACUGCA
Long non-coding RNA from Symphalangus syndactylus (siamang), 604 nucleotides. RefSeq lists it as uncharacterized. The record is from RefSeq and is a predicted model, not a curated record. Lineage: Eukaryota; Metazoa; Chordata; Mammalia; Primates; Hylobatidae.